RNAcentral lists this ribosomal RNA (1977 nucleotides) under Escherichia coli. Its description in RNAcentral is "partial 23S ribosomal RNA". It matches the Rfam family "Bacterial large subunit ribosomal RNA", at positions 960 to 2915 of the family's 2925-position model. Lineage: Bacteria; Pseudomonadati; Pseudomonadota; Gammaproteobacteria; Enterobacterales; Enterobacteriaceae. The record is from RNAcentral.
AUACCGGAGAAUGUUAUCACGGGAGACACACGGCGGGUGCUAACGUCCGUCGUGAAGAGGGAAACAACCCAGACCGCCAGCUAAGGUCCCAAAGUCAUGGUUAAGUGGGAAACGAUGUGGGAAGGCCCAGACAGCCAGGAUGUUGGCUUAGAAGCAGCCAUCAUUUAAAGAAAGCGUAAUAGCUCACUGGUCGAGUCGGCCUGCGCGGAAGAUGUAACGGGGCUAAACCAUGCACCGAAGCUGCGGCAGCGACGCUUAUGCGUUGUUGGGUAGGGGAGCGUUCUGUAAGCCUGUGAAGGUGUGCUGUGAGGCAUGCUGGAGGUAUCAGAAGUGCGAAUGCUGACAUAAGUAACGAUAAAGCGGGUGAAAAGCCCGCUCGCCGGAAGACCAAGGGUUCCUGUCCAACGUUAAUCGGGGCAGGGUGAGUCGACCCCUAAGGCGAGGCCGAAAGGCGUAGUCGAUGGGAAACAGGUUAAUAUUCCUGUACUUGGUGUUACUGCGAAGGGGGGACGGAGAAGGCUAUGUUGGCCGGGCGACGGUUGUCCCGGUUUAAGCGUGUAGGCUGGUUUUCCAGGCAAAUCCGGAAAAUCAAGGCUGAGGCGUGAUGACGAGGCACUACGGUGCUGAAGCAACAAAUGCCCUGCUUCCAGGAAAAGCCUCUAAGCAUCAGGUAACAUCAAAUCGUACCCCAAACCGACACAGGUGGUCAGGUAGAGAAUACCAAGGCGCUUGAGAGAACUCGGGUGAAGGAACUAGGCAAAAUGGUGCCGUAACUUCGGGAGAAGGCACGCUGAUAUGUAGGUGAAGUCCCUCGCGGAUGGAGCUGAAAUCAGUCGAAGAUACCAGCUGGCUGCAACUGUUUAUUAAAAACACAGCACUGUGCAAACACGAAAGUGGACGUAUACGGUGUGACGCCUGCCCGGUGCCGGAAGGUUAAUUGAUGGGGUCAGCGCAAGCGAAGCUCUUGAUCGAAGCCCCGGUAAACGGCGGCCGUAACUAUAACGGUCCUAAGGUAGCGAAAUUCCUUGUCGGGUAAGUUCCGACCUGCACGAAUGGCGUAAUGAUGGCCAGGCUGUCUCCACCCGAGACUCAGUGAAAUUGAACUCGCUGUGAAGAUGCAGUGUACCCGCGGCAAGACGGAAAGACCCCGUGAACCUUUACUAUAGCUUGACACUGAACAUUGAGCCUUGAUGUGUAGGAUAGGUGGGAGGCUUGGAAGUGUGGACGCCAGUCUGCAUGGAGCCGACCUUGAAAUACCACCCUUUAAUGUUUGAUGUUCUAACGUUGACCCGUAAUCCGGGUUGCGGACAGUGUCUGGUGGGUAGUUUGACUGGGGCGGUCUCCUCCUAAAGAGUAACGGAGGAGCACGAAGGUUGGCUAAUCCUGGUCGGACAUCAGGAGGUUAGUGCAAUGGCAUAAGCCAGCUUGACUGCGAGCGUGACGGCGCGAGCAGGUGCGAAAGCAGGUCAUAGUGAUCCGGUGGUUCUGAAUGGAAGGGCCAUCGCUCAACGGAUAAAAGGUACUCCGGGGAUAACAGGCUGAUACCGCCCAAGAGUUCAUAUCGACGGCGGUGUUUGGCACCUCGAUGUCGGCUCAUCACAUCCUGGGGCUGAAGUAGGUCCCAAGGGUAUGGCUGUUCGCCAUUUAAAGUGGUACGCGAGCUGGGUUUAGAACGUCGUGAGACAGUUCGGUCCCUAUCUGCCGUGGGCGCUGGAGAACUGAGGGGGGCUGCUCCUAGUACGAGAGGACCGGAGUGGACGCAUCACUGGUGUUCGGGUUGUCAUGCCAAUGGCACUGCCCGGUAGCUAAAUGCGGAAGAGAUAAGUGCUGAAAGCAUCUAAGCACGAAACUUGCCCCGAGAUGAGUUCUCCCUGACUCCUUGAGAGUCCUGAAGGAACGUUGAAGACGACGACGUUGAUAGGCCGGGUGUGUAAGCGCAGCGAUGCGUUGAGCUAACCGGUACUAAUGAACCGUGAG